AGACAGAGGGUGCAAACGUUGUUCGGAAUUACUGGGCGUAAAGCGCGUGUAGGCGGCUAUGCAAGUCGGAUGUGAAAGCCCGCGGCUCAACCGUGGAAGUGCAUCCGAAACUGCGUGGCUAGAGUCCCGGAGAGGAAGGUGGAAUACUUGGUGUAGAGGUGAAAUUCGUAGAUAUCAAGUGGAACACCGGUGGCGAAGGCGGCCCUCUGGACGGUGACUGACGCUGAGACGCGAAAGCGUGGGUAGCAAACAGGAUUAGAUACCCUGGUAGUCCACGCCGUAAACGAUGAGUGCUAGGUGUCAGAGGCUUUGACCCUUCUGGUGCCGAAGCUAACGCGUUAAGCACUCCGCCUGGGGAGUACGGCCGCAAGGCUAAA
This 377-nucleotide ribosomal RNA is filed under the name uncultured bacterium. RNAcentral's name for it is "bacterial SSU rRNA". It matches the Rfam family "Bacterial small subunit ribosomal RNA", at positions 523 to 898 of the family's 1533-position model. The record is from RNAcentral.